RNAcentral lists this ribosomal RNA (459 nucleotides) under uncultured bacterium. RNAcentral describes it as "partial 16S ribosomal RNA". It matches the Rfam family "Bacterial small subunit ribosomal RNA", at positions 338 to 795 of the family's 1533-position model. The record is from RNAcentral.
CCUACGGGUGGCAGCAGUGAGGAAUAUUGGUCAAUGGGCGCGAGCCUGAACCAGCCAAGUCGCGUGAGGGAAGACGGUCCUAUGGAUUGUAAACCUCUUUUGUCGGGGAGCAAAAGACGCCACGCGUGGCGUUCCGAGAGUACCCGAAGAAAAAGCAUCGGCUAACUCCGUGCCAGCAGCCGCGGUAAUACGGAGGAUGCGAGCGUUAUCCGGAUUUAUUGGGUUUAAAGGGUGCGAAGGCGGAAGAUCAAGUCAGCGGUAAAAUUGAGAGGCUCAACCUCUUCGAGCCGUUGAAACUGGCUGUCUUGAGUGAGCGAGAGGUAGGCGGAAUGCGUGGUGUAGCGGUGAAAUGCAUAGAUAUCACGCAGAACUCCGAUUGCGAAGGCAGCAUACCGGCGCUCAACUGACGCUGAUGCACGAAAGUGUGGGUAUCGAACAGGAUUAGAUACCCCUGUAGUC